This 468-nucleotide ribosomal RNA is filed under the name uncultured bacterium. RNAcentral's name for it is "partial 16S ribosomal RNA". It matches the Rfam family "Bacterial small subunit ribosomal RNA", at positions 28 to 507 of the family's 1533-position model. The record is from RNAcentral.
GACGAACGCUGGCGGCGUGCUUAACACAUGCAAGUCGAACGGAAAGGCCCUGCUUUUGUGGGGUGCUCGAGUGGCGAACGGGUGAGUAACACGUGAGUAACCUGCCCUUGACUUUGGGAUAACUUCAGGAAACUGGGGCUAAUACCGGAUAGGAGCUCCUGCUGCAUGGUGGGGGUUGGAAAGUUUCGGCGGUUGGGGAUGGACUCGCGGCUUAUCAGCUUGUUGGUGGGGUAGUGGCUUACCAAGGCUUUGACGGGUAGCCGGCCUGAGAGGGUGACCGGCCACAUGGGGACUGAGAUACGGCCCAGACUCCUACGGGAGGCAGCAGGGGGGAAUAAUGAACAAUGGGCGGAAGCCUGAUGCAGCAACGCCGCGUGCGGGAUGACGGCCUUCGGGUUGUAAACCGCUUUCGCCUGUGACGAAGCGUGAGUGACGGUAAUGGGUAAAGAAGCACCGGCUAACUACGUG